AUUAUUCUCACACCCACAAGAAGGUUCAAGUUAAACACAUAUUACACCAUAAUGAAAAUAUGUUUAUAAACAUGCACAUACAUUGUACGCAAGUUGAAAAACAAAUUAAUCUAGAGAAAGCAUAGUUUUGACCAUCUUAACAAUCAUCUACAACACACAAGUCACAAAAAGAUAAGGACUACUGGUUACUAUGAGAGACUUCAGAUGGUCCAGAACACACAAGUUUGUAUCUACUUGCACAAAGUGCAAGCUCCAAAACACUCGAAACACCAAAUGGUCUACAAGACAAUAAGGUCCAUGAUUACAGGUUGGUUGGUCCAUAAACGCUAGAGAGUCAUCAUGUCCAUGUGCAUCAAUAGGUUCAGUACCUGAAAACAUUUUGCACA
This 386-nucleotide long non-coding RNA is filed under the name Hordeum vulgare. RNAcentral describes it as "long non-coding RNA (HVUL_LNC000982)". The record is from RNAcentral. Lineage: Eukaryota; Viridiplantae; Streptophyta; Magnoliopsida; Poales; Poaceae.